CAGCUCUCCGAGUAGUGUGGAUGUUUAUUGGGCCGAAAGCAUCCGUAGCUUGCUAUGCAAGUCCCUUGUUAAAUCCACCGAUUUAAUCGUUGGAUUGCGGGGGAUACUGUUUGGCUAGGGGACGGGAGAGGCCGACGGUAUUUCCGGGGUAGGGUGAAAUCCUAUAAUCCCGGGAGGACCACCAGUGGCGAAGGCUGUCGGCUAGAACGCGCCCGACGGUGAGGGAUGAAAGCUGGGGAGCGAACCGGAUUAGAUACCCGGGUAGUCCCAGCUGUAAACGAUGCAGGCUAGGUGUUUGGGCGGCCACGAGCCGCCCCUAGUGCCGCAGGGAAGCUGUUAAGCCUGCCGCCUGGGGAGUACGGCCGCAAGGCUG
Molecule: ribosomal RNA, 373 nt
Filed under: uncultured organism
Description: partial 16S ribosomal RNA
Rfam family: Archaeal small subunit ribosomal RNA
Source: RNAcentral